This 501-nucleotide ribosomal RNA is filed under the name uncultured bacterium. Its description in RNAcentral is "partial 16S ribosomal RNA". It matches the Rfam family "Bacterial small subunit ribosomal RNA", at positions 30 to 523 of the family's 1533-position model. The record is from RNAcentral.
AUUGAACGCUGGCGGCAGGCUUAACACAUGCAAGUCGAGCGGGGGAAGGUAGCUUGCUACCGGACCUAGCGGCGGACGGGUGAGUAAUGCUUAGGAAUCUGCCUAUUAGUGGGGGACAACAUCUCGGAAGGGAUGCUAAUACCGCAUACGUCCUACGGGAGAAAGCAGGGGAUCUUCGGACCUUGCGCUAAUAGAUGAGCCUAAGUCAGAUUAGCUAGUUGGUGGGGUAAAGGCCUACCAAGGCGACGAUCUGUAGCGGGUCUGAGAGGAUGAUCCGCCACACUGGGACUGAGACACGGCCCAGACUCCUACGGGAGGCAGCAGUGGGGAAUAUUGGACAAUGGGGGGAACCCUGAUCCAGCCAUGCCGCGUGUGUGAAGAAGGCCUUAUGGUUGUAAAGCACUUUAAGCGAGGAGGAGGCUACUUUAGUUAAUACCUAGAGAUAGUGGACGUUACUCGCAGAAUAAGCACCGGCUAACUCUGUGCCAGCAGCCGCCGUAA